GGUAACAUGAUCUGGAACAAUAGAUCUUUGGUGCGUGGUGGCCGUGUUUGCUGAUUCAUCCUAUAUCUUUCUAUCCAUCCAUAGAUAGUGCUUGCUAAGGAGAAAAGGAAAUUUUCAUAUUCGUCUAUUCAUUUCUUUCGAUUCAUCCACACCUUUCCUUUUAACACCUCUUUCUCUCUUCCUCCUAUUUUAUGUCAAAGUAAGAGCGUAACUAGGUCGUGGUAUAACGAUAUUCAACAGUAUGUUCGAAGACUACAGUUUUUCUAAACACUUCUCUUUGGGAAAUAACAAAGAAAGUGAUUUUGCCGAUUUUCUAUCUGAUCUAAAGACAAGACCUUUCUCUACUUUUAUAAACACCGAAGGUUUGGUGAUCUCCAAUAAAAACUACCGCUACGCUACAUCGUGUCUCGUGAGGACCCAAAUUCGCCUGUCUAUAAGUUGCCUACUUUGCUACAAGCUCCACAAAAUCAGCAGAAAGCUGCAGCACUGGAGAAAAGGGUCUCAGAUUUGGAAACAACGCUUAAAGACAAGGAGACGGACAUCACCGGGAAUAUGUCUUCGUCCAUUCAGCCGGAAGAAACAUCUCGUGCUUAGUUAUAUCAACUACUUCUGUUAAUUUUCUUUGGAGUUGUAUUUGCUUUUGUUUCUGCUAAUGCAUUAGGUGCGUGUGUCUUUUGGAUUUGUA
Papaver somniferum (opium poppy) is the source of this 685-nucleotide long non-coding RNA. RefSeq lists it as uncharacterized. The transcript has 2 exons. The record is from RefSeq and is a predicted model, not a curated record. Lineage: Eukaryota; Viridiplantae; Streptophyta; Magnoliopsida; Ranunculales; Papaveraceae.